UGGGGAAUUUUGGACAAUGGGCGAAAGCCUGAUCCAGCAAUGCCGCGUGUGUGAAGAAGGCCUUCGGGUUGUAAAGCACUUUUGUCCGGAAAGAAAUCCUUGGCUCUAAUACAGUCGGGGGAUGACGGUACCGGAAGAAUAAGCACCGGCUAACUACGUGCCAGCAGCCGCGGUAAUACGUAGGGUGCAAGCGUUAAUCGGAAUUACUGGGCGUAAAGCGUGCGCAGGCGGUUUGCUAAGACCGAUGUGAAAUCCCCGGGCUCAACCUGGGAACUGCAUUGGUGACUGGCAGGCUAGAGUAUGGCAGAGGGGGGUAGAAUUCCACGUGUAGCAGUGAAAUGCGUAGAGAUGUGGAGGAAUACCGAUGGCGAAGGCAGCCCCCUGGGCCAAUACUGACGCUCAUGCACGAAAGCGUGGGGAGCAAACAGGAUUCAGAUACCCUGGUAGUCCAGCGCCCUAAACGAUGUCAACUAGUUGUUGGGGAUUCAUUUCCUUAGUAACGUAGCUAACGCGUGAAGUUGACCGCCUGGGGAGUACGGUCGCAAGAUU
Molecule: ribosomal RNA, 549 nt
Filed under: uncultured bacterium
Lineage: Bacteria
Description: partial 16S ribosomal RNA
Rfam family: Bacterial small subunit ribosomal RNA
Source: RNAcentral